RNAcentral lists this unclassified non-coding RNA (166 nucleotides) under soil metagenome. RNAcentral describes it as "partial internal transcribed spacer 1". The record is from RNAcentral.
CCAAAACUUAGCUGCUCCAGUUCAGGCUGGUUGCACGCUUCAACCCUUUGUGAACCAAAAACCUUUACGCUUCGGCAGCUGGUUCCAGCUGUAAGCCUGCCGAUGGCACCCAUUUAAACCUGUCGUUAAAUAUUUGUCUGAACUAAAUAUUUUUGAAUGAAAAUUA